RNAcentral lists this ribosomal RNA (518 nucleotides) under Pseudomonadales bacterium. RNAcentral describes it as "partial 23S ribosomal RNA". It matches the Rfam family "Bacterial large subunit ribosomal RNA", at positions 2413 to 2925 of the family's 2925-position model. The record is from RNAcentral. Lineage: Bacteria; Pseudomonadati; Pseudomonadota; Gammaproteobacteria; Pseudomonadales.
UAGUGAUCCGGUGGUUCUGUAUGGAAGGGCCAUCGCUCAACGGAUAAAAGGUACUCUGGGGAUAACAGGCUGAUACCGCCCAAGAGUUCAUAUCGACGGCGGUGUUUGGCACCUCGAUGUCGGCUCAUCUCAUCCUGGGGCUGAAGCAGGUCCCAAGGGUAUGGCUGUUCGCCAUUUAAAGAGGUACGCGAGCUGGGUUUAGAACGUCGUGAGACAGUUCGGUCCCUAUCUACCGUGGGCGUUGGAGACUUGAGAGGAUCUGCUUCUAGUACGAGAGGACCGAAGUGGACGAACCUCUGGUGUUCCGGUUGUCACGCCAGUGGCACUGCCGGGUAGCUAUGUUCGGAAGGGAUAAGUGCUGAAAGCAUCUAAGCACGAAGCCUACCUCAAGAUAAGGUCUCCCUGAGGGUUUAACCCUCCUAAAGAGCCGUUAGAGACCAUGACGUUGAUAGGUUCGGUGUGGAAGCGCGGUGACGCGUGAAGCUAACGAAUACUAAUUGCUCGUGAGGCUUGACUAU